GCUCAAUGAGGUACCAAAAUAUUAGCAAGUAAGAAUCAUGGAACUUCGUAUUCAAUUAGUCACAUACGCACAUCAAAUAAAGAAAUGAACAACACCAUAGAUAGAAAGGAUACGGGUGGCUCUCAGGAGCCAAAUUCCCAUUUGCUUCACCGGAGCUUGAUCAAAUAAUAGUUGACACUCCGUCAACUUCCAAAUAAAGUAACCAAUCCAGUCCAGUAGUGCACCACUUUACACCAAAAUUCCGUUCACCACACAUACCCCUUACCGAGCCUGAACAUCUCAACAGAAACAGAAGUGGUAAUACUCGAGUAUACCGGAAUCAAGGGUCUCAAUACCCAAAGAUUCCUAGAACAGAC
RNAcentral lists this long non-coding RNA (356 nucleotides) under Coffea arabica (coffee). RNAcentral's name for it is "long non-coding RNA (CARA_LNC003412)". Lineage: Eukaryota; Viridiplantae; Streptophyta; Magnoliopsida; Gentianales; Rubiaceae. The record is from RNAcentral.